AGAGUUUGAUCCUGGCUCAGAUUGAACGCUGGCGGCAGGCCUAACACAUGCAAGUCGAACGGUAGCAGGAUGUGCUUGCACAUCGCUGACGAGUGGCGGACGGGUGAGUAAUGCUUGGGAACUUGCCUAGAGGUGGGGGAUAACAGUUGGAAACGACUGCUAAUACCGCAUAAUGUCUACGGACCAAAGAGGGCUUCGGCUCUCGCCUUUAGAGAGGCCCAAGUGAGAUUAGCUAGUUGGUGGGGUAAAGGCUCACCAAGGCGACGAUCUCUAGCUGUUCUGAGAGGAAGAUCAGCCACACUGGGACUGAGACACGGCCCAGACUCCUACGGGAGGCAGCAGUGGGGAAUAUUGCACAAUGGGGGAAACCCUGAUGCAGCCAUGCCGCGCGUGUGAAGAAGGCCUUAGGGUUGUAAAGCACUUUCAGUUGUGAGGAAAGUUUGGUGGUUAAUACCCAUCAGAUGUGACGUUAACAACAGAAGAAGCACCGGCUAACUCCGUGCCAGCAGCCGCGGUAAUACGGAGGGUGCGAGCGUUAAUCGGAAUUACUGGGCGUAAAGCGCACGCAGGCGGUUUGAUAAGCGAGAUGUGAAAGCCCUGGGCUCAACCUGGGAACUGCAUUUCGAACUGUCAGACUAGAGUCUUGGAGAGGGGAGUGGAAUUCCAGGUGUAGCGGUGAAAUGCGUAGAUAUCUGGAGGAACAUCAGUGGCGAAGGCGACUCCCUGGCCAAAGACUGACGCUCAUGUGCGAAAGUGUGGGUAGCGAACAGGAUUAGAUACCCUGGUAGUCCACACCGUAAACGCUGUCUACUAGCUGUGUGUGCCUUUAAGCUGUGCGUAGCGAAGCUAACGCGAUAAGUAGACCGCCUGGGGGAGUACGGCCGCAAGGUUAAAACCCAAUGAAUUGACGGGGGCCCGCACAAGCGGU
This 928-nucleotide ribosomal RNA is filed under the name uncultured bacterium. RNAcentral's name for it is "bacterial SSU rRNA". It matches the Rfam family "Bacterial small subunit ribosomal RNA", at positions 8 to 933 of the family's 1533-position model. The record is from RNAcentral.